This 87-nucleotide transfer RNA is filed under the name Opitutaceae bacterium. RNAcentral's name for it is "tRNA-Leu". It matches the Rfam family "tRNA". From Rfam's summary of the family: Transfer RNA (tRNA) molecules are approximately 80 nucleotides in length. The record is from RNAcentral. Lineage: Bacteria; Pseudomonadati; Verrucomicrobiota; Opitutia; Opitutales; Opitutaceae.
GCCCGGGUGGCGGAAUUGGUAGACGCAACAGCCUUAGGAGUUGUUUCUCGAAAGGGAGUGCAGGUUCGAGUCCUGUCCUGGGCACCA